UUUGUUUAUUUAUUUGUUUAUUUAUUUAUUUAUUACUUUUUUUUUUUUAAUUAAAGCACAAAUUUAAAAGCGACAAAUCAUAAUCAUACAAUAUAUCGCAUUUACCACAUUUUUUUAGCUUGAUAUAAAAUUAAGUAGCAUGAUUUCUCUAUUUUUUUUACAUAUCUUGUUUUAAAACAAAAUAGAACAAAAAAAAGUAAAAGACAAAACAUAAAUGACUAUUUUUUUUCUCUACGGAGGGAAUAUAUUUUGUGUAUACACAAUUUUAUUACAAAACUUAAACAUGUUAAACGUUUAUAAAUUAGUAUAUAUGUUUUAGUUAGCAUAUUGUUUUUAAAAGACGAAAUAAAAAAAACAAACAAACAAACAAACAAACAAACAAACAAACAUACAUACAUACAUACAUACAUACAGACAAACAUACAUACAUACAUACAUACAUACAUACAGACAUAAAUAAAACAAAAACAUAAAUAUAGUAAUGUCUAACAAUGUUAAAAACAGGCAAUAUUCAACACAUUUAUAUAUAUAUAUAUAUAUGUGCAUUAUAAGGGUAUAUAUAAAUAUAUUAUAAUGGGACAAUUAUGAAAAAAAAAAAAAAAAAAAAAUGUAAUAUAAAAUACAGUACAACAAAAUAAAAAUAUAUUGCUGUGCAUAAAUAUUGAAACAAUAUAAUACAACUGGGUAUUGUAAAAUAUAGGGCUAACAUAAAAAAAAUAUAUUAAAAACUAUUCAUGUUUUUUUUUUUUUUUCAAUAUUUUUGUAUGUUACUUUUCAUUCAUACGCUUUAAAAUCAUUAAGUAUAUAUUUUUUAUUAUUUUUACUUUUUUUAAAGUACAAAUAAAAAGAAGAAGUAAAAGAUAAAAAGACAAUAGUAAAGAUAACAUAAUAAUAAAGUUUAAUAACAUAAUUUUCUUUUGAUAAAACAAGUAUAAGACUUUCUAACAUACCCCAAACCCCAACUGCACAUAAAAAAGAAGAGAAAUCUGCUAUAAGUCGUAACAAAAAAGGGACAUUAUUAUUAUUAUUCAUAAAAAAAAAACAAUCAGUUCUACAUGCGUCAUUUCCACAUGCAUCAUUUCUACAUGUAUUUUUUUUAUUUUUCAGAGUUAAAAAAAAAAUUACAUAUGUACGUAAUAGUACAUAUAUAUACAUAUAUAUAUAUAUAAUAUUUUAUGUCAUAAUAAGGUUACAUAUAUUUUAUUAAUUUAUACGCUAUGAUUUAUACGACUUAAAAAAAAAAAAAUUAAUUAAUCAAAAUAUUAAAAAGGUACCUAAUAUUUAACUGUCUAUAUGUAUAUAUAUGUAUAUAUAUAUAAGAUUACUAUUAAAAAUCAAAAUUUAAAAAAAUAAAAAAUAAAAAAUGAAAAUAAAUAGGAAGAAU
This 1384-nucleotide long non-coding RNA is filed under the name Piliocolobus tephrosceles (Ugandan red Colobus). Its description in RNAcentral is "lncRNA (ENSPTEG00000000326.1)". The record is from RNAcentral. Lineage: Eukaryota; Metazoa; Chordata; Mammalia; Primates; Cercopithecidae.